This is a long non-coding RNA of Rhineura floridana, 846 nucleotides long. RefSeq lists it as uncharacterized. The record is from RefSeq and is a predicted model, not a curated record. NCBI's taxonomy places the organism in Eukaryota, Metazoa, Chordata, Lepidosauria, Squamata, Rhineuridae. The transcript has 2 exons.
ACUAGCUCGGCGAUAGAUGAAUACGGAAGUCCUAAAGAGGUGGGCGUGUUUUGCUGUCGUCCCUCCUCCGCGCCCAAGUCCGUUCCAGCCAUGGCGGGCCUCUCCUCCAAGAAGCAGCUGUCUAAGCCUUUGUUGUUUGGAAGCAUUUUCUGUGCUUUGGCGAUCGCCUUCGUGUACAGACAUCGUUUUUUCCCUGACAUAGAGGAGCUGCGAGCUCAUGAAUAUCAGUAUUAUGAGGAGAAACGCCAGGAGGUGCUGCAGAGACGCCAGCAGCAGUUGUCUGAGCUGUCACAUAAGAAACCUGCUUCCUAAUUGGCUUUUACUGCUGAGAAAGGACUGAGACUUGACUAAAUGGACUGGAUGGUGAUUCUCGCACACCAUGGGCACUUAGGGGGUUUCAGCCUAGGACUGCUCAGUAGAGUUGAGUGAUUCACAUCCUAAUUAGAGAGUUCUUGGGAGAGAGUAUGGCUUGUCCACAGGAAGAAGGAUUUGAGAGUGAGGGAACCUAAGAUUCUUGGUUCUUCCAUUGAUUUCUUGUGUGACUUUUAGCAUUCAAUUUAACACAAGUAGCCUUGCCGUGACUUAAAAAAUUGAUCAUGUUUUGGUGAAUCUUGGCUGCCCUAAACAUUCCACAUAUGAGUUGUGUGGAUGUAAGUUUUCUUGGGAAUCUUCUAGCUGCUGUGUAAAUGUAUCCCUGUCUUCAGAAAUAUUUCACAGCUGUAUAGAAUUGUUGCUGCCUGUGCAGAAGCUGCUAGGCCACUGUUCAGAUAAACUACAAUCCAUUUCCAGUAUAUGUCUAUUUAAUCACCAACUAUAUGGUACACAAUUUUAAUUUUGAAACUUGAA